RNAcentral lists this ribosomal RNA (484 nucleotides) under uncultured bacterium. Its description in RNAcentral is "partial 16S ribosomal RNA". It matches the Rfam family "Bacterial small subunit ribosomal RNA", at positions 30 to 507 of the family's 1533-position model. The record is from RNAcentral.
AUUGAACGCUGGCGGCAGGCCUAACACAUGCAAGUCGAGCGGAUGAAGGGAGCUUGCUCCUGGAUUCAGCGGCGGACGGGUGAGUAAUGCCUAGGAAUCUGCCUGGUAGUGGGGGAUAACGUCCGGAAACGGGCGCUAAUACCGCAUACGUCCUGAGGGAGAAAGUGGGGGAUCUUCGGACCUCACGCUAUCAGAUGAGCCUAGGUCGGAUUAGCUAGUUGGUGGGGUAAAGGCCUACCAAGGCGACGAUCCGUAACUGGUCAGAGAGGAUGAUCAGUCACACUGGAACUGAGACACGGUCCAGACUCCUACGGGAGGCAGCAGUGGGGAAUAUUGGACAAAGGGCGAAAGCCUGAUCCAGCCAUGCCGCGUGUGUGAAGAAGGUCUUCGGAUUGUAAAGCACUUUAAGUUGGGAGGAAGGGCAGUAAGUUAAUACCUUGCUGUUUUGACGUUACCAACAGAAUAAGCACCGGCUAACUUCGUG